RNAcentral lists this ribosomal RNA (433 nucleotides) under uncultured bacterium. RNAcentral's name for it is "partial 16S ribosomal RNA". It matches the Rfam family "Bacterial small subunit ribosomal RNA", at positions 29 to 507 of the family's 1533-position model. The record is from RNAcentral.
AACGAACGCUGGCGGCAUGCCUAACACAUGCAAGUCGAACGAGACCUUCGGGUCGAGUGGCGCACGGGUGCGUAACGCGUGGGAACCUGCCCUUAGGUUCGGAAUAACUCCCCGAAAGGGGUGCUAAUACCGGAUAAUGUCUUCGGACCAAAGAUUUAUCGCCUUUGGAUGGGCCCGCGUUGGAUUAGCUAGUUGGUAGGGUAAAAGCCUACCAAGGCGACGAUCCGUAGCUGGUCUGAGAGGAUGAUCAGCCACACUGGGACUGAGACACGGCCCAGACUCCUACGGGAGGCAGCAGUGGGGAAUAUUGGACAAUGGGCGAAAGCCUGAUCCAGCAAUGCCGCGUGAGUGAUGAAGGCCUUAGGGUUGUAAAGCUCUUUUACCCGGGAUGAUAAUGACGGUACCGGAAGAAUAAGCUCCGGCUAACUCCGUG